Peromyscus californicus insignis is the source of this 1443-nucleotide long non-coding RNA. RefSeq lists it as uncharacterized. The record is from RefSeq and is a predicted model, not a curated record. The transcript is spliced from 2 exons. Lineage: Eukaryota; Metazoa; Chordata; Mammalia; Rodentia; Cricetidae.
GUGUUUUGGUAAUGAUCUCUGAGACUCUAGAACAUGAGUUACCCCUGUCAGUGUGACUCACCAGAAAUAUGCUCAGAGCUUCAUACAUUCAAGGUAAGUUGCUUAGCCAGCCUGCUAAUGGAAGGCCCUGAGCUAUUUCCUGGGGAUCCAGAAGUGACUAUGUCAUCAUCUCUUCCUUGGAUUAGCUUUAAUCCUCCCCCCCCCCCCCCCACACACACACCCAGGAAAUGAUCAGAAACAAAGAGGACAUAGCUUUCCCAUCGCAGAACCUACUGGAUGGAGAUCGACUUCUGUUGGAAUUCCAGUACCUUGUAUCCUGAGACAGAACUGGUCCAACUCACAGUAGCAGAGCUGCUGGAUAGGCAGACAGAAGGGACGCUGGCACAGAAGGUACAACAAGACACUUGGAUGACAGUCACAUAUCUGCUUGCCCAGGUCAUGGGGGAAUCAUCAGAAACAGGCUAUAACUCCGGAUUUUGUCUACCCAAUCAUAAAUUUAUGUGACUGGCCCUGCAGACCUCUCUAGGGGCUCAGACGGAUGUCUCCAGUGAGGAUGGUCUGAACCAGAGAUGAGAUGUGACUGCUGUGUGUCUGCCUGAGCAGGCCCAGGGAGCAGUCCAACGAAGCUUUUGCUUCCAAGUCAAGAAGAAGAGAAAUAAACAGAAUGCGACAACCUGUCCACCCUGCAAGAACAAGAGUGUAGGUCCAGAUUCCUUCUUCCAGCUUGGCAGCGAGCCCUGGAGGGUGGCUGAGGGCCUGUGGUCUGGGAGCAUGCGAAGAGUGUCACACUCAGUAGUCAGAUCUUUCAACAGUCAAUCAGAGCACUUAGGCCAGGACUGGCCAGACAGCUGCCUGUUGGGACUGCAUUCCUACCACAGACUCCCCACUUAGAGAGUCACAUCUGCCUUGCCACCCUGAUCUCUGGACUCCAGAGUUGUGCACCAGCCACCUCUGGGGAUUCUCCUUGCCUGCUUGCUCUGUGUCCCCCAAGAUGUAGGUCUAAUGCCACCAUAGCCUUUACCACCUCAAUAUGAUCACUAUCUAGCUGUCACCCUUGUUGGACUAGGAGAAGUUGAGGGACAAGAACCACAUCUUAGUCAUCCAGUUCUACUGCAGGUGUGCUGCAGCAUGUGUGCGUGGGGAGCAUGGCGGGAAGUAGUGAGGCUGGACCAGCUUAAGUAGCAAGUAAAAGCUGAAUCACCAAGAAAGGGCAAGUGACAAAAAGAUGGUAUAAUCAAAGCCAAGAAAUAGGAAACAGCUCUAAGGAGGAAAGACUAAAACUAUAAAACUAGCUACUCCAUGUUCCUAGUUUUAUAGGUACUUAGAGAGCCUGUUAAUUUUGGAAGACUUCAUGAAUUGACUAUCAGUUCAAGAGACUAGUCUGAAUUGGUCGAGCCAAAUGUUAUCUGUGUGAAAUUAAAGCGUCGUCAAAUAUUGAAAAUA